Molecule: ribosomal RNA, 311 nt
Filed under: uncultured bacterium
Lineage: Bacteria
Description: bacterial SSU rRNA
Rfam family: Bacterial small subunit ribosomal RNA
Source: RNAcentral
AGCGAACGCUGGCGGCGUGCCUAACACAUGCAAGUCGAACGAGAAUCCCUUCGGGGAGGAAAGUGGCGCACGGGUGCGUAACACGUGGAUAACCUACCCAUUGGUUGGGGACAACACCGGGAAACUGGUGCUAAUACCCGAUGUGUCGUAGUGGUCGCAAGGCUGCUACGAGAAAGGCCCGCAAGGUCGCCAGCGGACGGGUCCGCGUCCCAUCAGCUAGUUGGUGAGGUAAAUGGCUCACCAAAGGCGAAGACGGGUAGGCUGGUCUGAGAGGAUGAUCAGCCACACUGGGAACUGAGACACGGUCCAGA